GCCUUCGUGGUGUAGUGGUCACACUCGACUCGUAACCGAGAGGUCCGUGGUUCGAUUCCCGGUGAGGGCA
This 70-nucleotide transfer RNA is filed under the name Stegodyphus mimosarum. It matches the Rfam family "tRNA". From Rfam's summary of the family: Transfer RNA (tRNA) molecules are approximately 80 nucleotides in length. Their secondary structure includes four short double-helical elements and three loops (D, anti-codon, and T loops). Further hydrogen bonds mediate the characteristic L-shaped molecular structure. tRNAs have two regions of fundamental functional importance: the anti-codon, which is responsible for specific mRNA codon recognition, and the 3' end, to which the tRNAs corresponding amino acid is attached (by aminoacyl-tRNA synthetases). tRNAs cope with the degeneracy of the genetic code in two manners: having more than one tRNA (with a specific anti-codon) for a particular amino acid; and 'wobble' base-pairing, i.e. permitting non-standard base-pairing at the 3rd anti-codon position. Lineage: Eukaryota; Metazoa; Arthropoda; Arachnida; Araneae; Eresidae. The record is from Rfam by way of RNAcentral.